Molecule: long non-coding RNA, 1376 nt
Filed under: Felis catus (domestic cat)
Lineage: Eukaryota; Metazoa; Chordata; Mammalia; Carnivora; Felidae
Description: lncRNA (ENSFCAG00000044645.2)
Source: RNAcentral
UGGCAGUGGACGAAACAGACAAAGUCUCUGCCUUCGAGGACCUUACGUUCUCGUGGGAGAAGGCUAACAAAAUAAAAAUUUGAAAUUAAAUUUCAGAAGUGUAAGUGCUAUGAAGAAAACCAAAGUGAGGAAGGGAAAGGAGAGGGGUGACAGUCACUACUUUAGAAAGGGUGGACAGGGAGGAACAUUCAUCCAGGUGGCCGUGAGCAGGGAUUAGACUGACUGCAGGAGUGAGACCUACAAAUACCCAGAGGAAGGGCCUUCCAGGCAGGGAACAGGGAAGGCUGCAGAGAAGGUAGACGCUGUAACCCUGCGAUGUUUUUACAGCCUCAGCAAGAGGAAUCACUACUGUGCCUGUGACAUCGUGUGCAAAGGGAGGGCUGGAGGAGAUAAUCUGAGAAGUGUCAAGAUGCCGGGGCCCAUGUCAGGCAGGCUCUGCGAGUGCCAUGAUCACAGACACAAUAACUGGAGCUCCAGCAGCCAUUUUGCUUGAGGAUGUUAAAGCAGAAAGGGUAGGAGACUUGAACAGACCAGCCCAAGACUGCCUGCUUCCAAAUUUAUUUUACUUUAGACAGAAGCGAACCCCGAUACUGUCACUUGAGGACUCUUCACUAGAGGCCAAAGGGUAGUUGGAGUUUGGACUUCAUGAUCCAUUUGGAACAGUCUAUGGGUCUGUGCUACAAGUGAAGAAAGGAUUUGUGAAGAGGUACACAUGUGCUCUGGCCUUGGGGGAGAAGAGAAGCCACUCAUGAGAUCAGAAGCAAUUUAAAGGACAAAAAAAAGUCAGCUUCCUCUGGGAGAGAAGGACCAGGUGGCUGAUGACAGAGGUAUAUGGUGUUAUAAAACAUGGUGUCUUGGGAUGGUCCUGCAUUGCUUUGGUAAGAGAAAAAUUUGUGAGUCUUGUGUUGGCCAGCCACCAACAUGGGGUUCUUCCCUACUCCCAUCACAUACACUUUAAGGUGUUACUUAAGUUAGAAGGUUGGAUGUUAAGUUAAAAGCUAACCCCCAGCCACGUGGAUUUUCAACAGCAAACUGGUGGGUAAAGUUUACAGGUUGUUGUUUUCUGUCUAUUCGCCUUUCCUUUUUCUUCAGGCCUCUUCCUCUACCUAGAAAUGAGGGCUUGGACUAAGGAAGGGCUCUGUGCUCUGUCAUUUACAUGGUAAAGUGAAUCAAUAUGGCCAGUCGAUAGGUAUGUACAUACAUCCAGUGAGGUACACUAGUGCGUGCUGUGCAACUUGAAGAAACUUUGCAUGGGUACACUCAUGCAAACACCCCCCUAGACUGAGAAGUAAGAACACUUCCAGGACCUUCACAUUGGCAUGAGGAUUUGAACCAUAUUUUUAUAUAAUAAAUGUAUUUGUCCUCUGGAAAAGACA